RNAcentral lists this ribosomal RNA (253 nucleotides) under uncultured bacterium. RNAcentral's name for it is "partial 16S ribosomal RNA". It matches the Rfam family "Bacterial small subunit ribosomal RNA", at positions 524 to 776 of the family's 1533-position model. The record is from RNAcentral.
UACGAACCGUGCGAACGUUGUUCGGAAUCACUGGGCUUAAAGGGCGCGUAGGCGGUCGGCCAAGUCAGAGGUGAAAGCCCACGGCUCAACCGUGGCAGUGCCCCUGAUACUGGUCGUCUGGAGGGAGGUAGGGGCACGCGGAACUUCCGGUGGAGCGGUGAAAUGCGUAGAUAUCGGAAGGAACGCCGGUGGCGAAAGCGGCGUGCUGGACCUCUGCUGACGCUGAGGCGCGAAAGCCAGGGGAGCAAACGGG